UUAAGUUCAGCGGGUAUCCCUACCUGAUCCGAGGUCAAGAGUUAAAAAAUGUCUUGAUGGAUGUCGUCGUAAUGAGUACAAAGCGCGGAUUGUGCUGCGCUCCGAAAUCUAUACGCCGGCUGCCAAUUGCUUUAAGGCGAGUCCGCGCACAAAGGCGGGACAAACACCCAACACCAAGCAGAGCUUGAAGGUACAAAUGA
Molecule: unclassified non-coding RNA, 200 nt
Filed under: fungal sp.
Lineage: Eukaryota; Fungi
Description: partial internal transcribed spacer 2
Source: RNAcentral